RNAcentral lists this ribosomal RNA (460 nucleotides) under uncultured bacterium. RNAcentral describes it as "partial 16S ribosomal RNA". It matches the Rfam family "Bacterial small subunit ribosomal RNA", at positions 338 to 795 of the family's 1533-position model. The record is from RNAcentral.
CCUACGGGGGGCGGCAGUGAGGAAUAUUGGUCAAUGGGCGCGAGCCUGAACCAGCCAAGUAGCGUGAAGGAUGACUGCCCUACGGGUUGUAAACUUCUUUUAUAAAGGAAUAAAGUGGGGCACGUGUGCCUUUUUGUAUGUACUUUAUGAAUAAGGAUCGGCUAACUCCGUGCCAGCAGCCGCGGUAAUACGGAGGAUCCGAGCGUUAUCCGGAUUUAUUGGGUUUAAAGGGAGCGUAGAUGGGUUGUUAAGUCAGUUGUGAAAGUUUGCGGCUCAACCGUAAAAUUGCAGUUGAUACUGGCAGCCUUGAGUACAGUGGAGGUAGGCGGAAUUCGUGGUGUAGCGGUGAAAUGCUUAGAUAUCACGAAGAACUCCGAUUGCGAAGGCAGCUUACUAAACUGCCACUGACACUGAUGCUCGAAAGUGUGGGUAUCAAACAGGAUUAGAUACCCUAGUAGUC